Clostridium baratii str. Sullivan is the source of this 255-nucleotide regulatory RNA element. It matches the Rfam family "glmS glucosamine-6-phosphate activated ribozyme aptamer". From Rfam's summary of the family: This entry contains a glucosamine-6-phosphate activated ribozyme that is found in the mRNA for GlmS. Lineage: Bacteria; Bacillati; Bacillota; Clostridia; Eubacteriales; Clostridiaceae. The record is from Rfam.
AAAAAAUUAAAAGCGCCAGAACUUAAGAGCGCCUAGACCAAAUCAAAGAUUUGAUUAGAAUUAGGAAACUCAGAGAUCACUACGUUCUCUCUGAGUAAGUUCGCCUAAGCCAAAUCGAAGAUUUGAGGCUCACUUAAGUUGACGAGGUUGGGAGUUAUCGAACUUUUCGGCGGGUGCCCCACGGUAUCGCACUACCGUUAACGAUUGGCAAAGCUAUGGAGCGAUUCGUAGUACAAAUCCAAUCUGGUGUUAAAA